RNAcentral lists this small RNA (463 nucleotides) under Cryptococcus neoformans H99. RNAcentral describes it as "Cryptococcus neoformans var. grubii H99 hypothetical RNA". Lineage: Eukaryota; Fungi; Basidiomycota; Tremellomycetes; Tremellales; Cryptococcaceae. The record is from RNAcentral.
UGCAGCCUGUGACUUACUGUCUUCUGUUUUCUGUCUUUCUGUCUCCGUUUCCUGUCUCCCUUUCCUGUUUUCCUUUUCUCCCUUCGUCUCUUAUGCUUACUCAAUUCUCUCUAUCUGGCUUCCAUUUACUUCCUUCUAUGUCAGGAUCUGAUGACUCAUCAUACUGCGUGCCGGCGCGGCUGCUUGCUGAUUAGUGGAGUUGUUUCAAUUUCUAAUUUCGUUACCGAACCCUAAAAACCUAGGCUUGAAGCCUGAUCAGAUUCAUCGCCAUUUUCCAUUUUUCGCUCGCGCAAGCUCGCUUCCAGCACAACGUUCCCUCCCGGCCCGACGUUCAUCUUUUGUGUCUUUUUUCAUUCCUAUAUUACUCGAUCAAAACUCACCAUACAGUUUUGAGACUUGUAUGAACUGCCGCGACCUUAUGCAUCCAACGGUACCAUGCAUGCAUUCUUUGAAGAUAUGGAUC